Molecule: unclassified non-coding RNA, 333 nt
Filed under: uncultured Glomeraceae
Lineage: Eukaryota; Fungi; Glomeromycota; Glomeromycetes; Glomerales; Glomeraceae
Description: sequence contains 18S rRNA gene
Source: RNAcentral
CCCAACUAUCCCUAUUAAUCAUUACGUCGAUCCUAGAAACCAACAAAAUAGAAUCAAACGUCCUAUUUCAUUAUUCCAUGCUAAUGUAUUCAAGCGUGAGCCUGCUUUAAACACUCUAAUUUUUUCAAAGUAACAGUCCUGAUUCCCCACAACACCAAAUAAAUGACAUCAUGGUUCGUCAGAAGGGAGAAACCAACAAUGCCAGUACGUACCUAGGCACGACCGACAUGAUGGUCCCGAAAUUCAACUACGAGCUUUUUAACUGCAGCAACUUUAAUAUACGCUAUUGGAGCUGGAAUUACCGCGGCUGCUGGCACCAGACUUGCCCUCCAA